Molecule: ribosomal RNA, 551 nt
Filed under: uncultured Diversisporaceae
Lineage: Eukaryota; Fungi; Glomeromycota; Glomeromycetes; Diversisporales
Description: SSU rRNA
Rfam family: Eukaryotic small subunit ribosomal RNA
Source: RNAcentral
UUGGAGGGCAAGUCUGGUGCCAGCAGCCGCGGUAAUUCCAGCUCCAAUAGCGUAUAUUAAAGUUGUUGCAGUUAAAAAGCUCGUAGUUGAACCUCGGGGUCUACCCAUUGGUCAGGCUUAAUUGUCUGUACUGGUGAGAUGGAUCUCUACCUUCUGAGGAACUUUCAUGCCAUUUAUUUGGUGUGAUGGGAAAUCAGGACUGUUACUUUGAAAAAAUUAGAGUGUUUAAAGCAGACUAUCGUCUGAAUACAUUAGCAUGGAAUAAUGAAAUAGGACGGACUGAUUCUAUUUCGUUGGUUUCUAGGAUCACCGUAAUGAUUAAUAGGGAUAGUUGGGGGCAUUAGUAUUCAAUUGUCAGAGGUGAAAUUCUUGGAUUUAUUGAAGACUAACUACUGCGAAAGCAUUUGCCAAGGAUGUUUUCAUUAAUCAAGAACGAAAGUUAGGGGAUCGAAGACGAUCAGAUACCGUCGUAGUCUUAACCAUAAACUAUGCCGACUAGGGAUCGGACGAAGUUAAUUUUAUAAUGACGCGUUCGGCGCCUUACGGGAAAC